Molecule: ribosomal RNA, 253 nt
Filed under: uncultured bacterium
Lineage: Bacteria
Description: partial 16S ribosomal RNA
Rfam family: Bacterial small subunit ribosomal RNA
Source: RNAcentral
UACGUAGGGUCCGAGCGUUGUCCGGAGUUACUGGGCGUAAAGGGCGCGUAGGCGGCACGGCAAGUCAGGAGUGAAAGCCCUGGGCUCAACCCGGGAACUGCUUUUGAAACUGCCGAGCUAGAGUGCGGAAGGGGCAACUGGAAUUCCCAGUGUAGCGGUGAAAUGCGUAGAUAUUGGGAAGAACACCUGAGGCGAAGGCGGGUUGCUGGGCCGACACUGACGCUGAGGCGCGAAAGCCAGGGGAGCGAACGGG